Molecule: long non-coding RNA, 1766 nt
Filed under: Triticum aestivum (bread wheat)
Lineage: Eukaryota; Viridiplantae; Streptophyta; Magnoliopsida; Poales; Poaceae
Description: long non-coding RNA (TAES_LNC025483)
Source: RNAcentral
ACUAGAUCGGGACCACGGCUUGGCGCAAGGGUGCCGGUCCCAACGAUAUGGUCAAGCAGAUAAUGAUCAUUUAGUUAUCGAGUUCAACAUCGUCAUGAAAUUAUAAACACUCAGUUAGUUCAUUAGACCACAAAAGCUAAUAACUACAACAUUAAGUUCAAUACUAAGAGCACGAACACGAGAGAGGAAGUACUAAUAGCAGGAACAUAAUAAGAAAGCAAAAGCCAGGCAUACUGACGGUAGAGGCGGUCAAACUACAAAGCAAUAGCAAUUAGGCAUACUAAUUAGUAGCUCUGGCCAACUUCCUUGUUGGUCAACUUCAUAGGUGCGCUUAGAUGAUCAACCGCGUGGCCUUGGUGUGAAAGCAACUGGCGGAAGCACAUCAUGCUCUUGUGCCUGAGACCGUCUUUUUAUUUGAAUAAUCUCAGCUCAUGUGGGAAAACUAAAGCAUGAUGGCACGAACUUCAGAAGAUGUCAUGUACUCAAAGAUGACUUGAAUUCGAUGGUUCUACAAAACAGAUAAAAAUAAAGAUCAUUAUUCUAUGGAUAAGUAAGGAAAAGGGAACAAAUAAUAAACAUCUACUUCGGAUUAGCUAGUGUUAAUAAACCAUUAAAGAUUACUGAGUGUACAAAAAAUGAUGUGCGGUCAGACUAUCGAUACUCUUUAGCCUAUAUAACCUAGGUGUACGUCAUCCCUUUCUCUACAAAGUACAAUCUAGCAGUCCUUUAUUGUUAUUGUUGAAUCAAGAAAGCAAUGGAAUGAUAAAUGGAUACAUUGAACUUACACGAAAGGCCACCAGAUAUCUCAAAGAAAAGAUUGCUGAUGUAAACAUGUCUAUGCCAACCUGUGGAUAUUUAUUUGAGUAGAUGUCACUAAUUUCAAAAGUUAAUAUCUGGUAUAGGGGAAAUUCAUGUAGGUAGUAAUGUGGUGGUGGAACUGAAUUAUACAAUAAAUGCAUAUGCAUAUAUGAAACACAAUCUCUGUCUGUUGUCUAAAUAUAUGAAAUCUGCUUAUAAUCUUGAUCCAGAGCAGCCAGUAGGUCUCUAAGCUGCUUCUUUAAAAAGGAAGAUAACCAAAAAACUAAUAAUGAUUGUAGCUACAUCUUUAAUCUGUGAAGUGAUACACAUAGCCAAAGGCCCUUGAAGAUCACAUGGCUAAGGAGCAUGUCAAUAUCAGCUUUUAUGCAAGUAGAAGCAGCACACUUCAUUCACACUGCACUAUGAUAGCAGUAUGUAUACAUUGUGUAGAUACCAUUACUGAAGUAUAGUGAUAAGAAAAGAAACAUGAUUACUGCACAUUAUUUAUUCGUAAUUUAUUAUAUUUGAAGCCCCACAGAAAAAAUAAAUAAGUUGUAAAGAUCACCAUGUACGUUGAUAUGUUCACUAAAUCCUGAACUAUAGUCAGUUCAUAAUUUAAAAGCAUUAUCUCAGGGGCUUGAACUAAAAAAAAUGAAGAACCAAAUAUUAACUACAUGGGCGGGUUCACAACAUAUAUAUAGCAGCAACUCUUAUAGAUCCUUCCUAAUACAGACAAUAGAAAUAUUUUGGAGAGGGUAUUGAAGAUAAAUUAAAUUUAUUUGGUUCCUAGCCAUUUAUGUGGGGUUACAUGAUGUAUUCAACGGCCAUGAGAAUAGUGCAAGGAAUUUAAUGAUACAAAGCUAUACAUGGAAUUUAAGGAUAAAGAGUUACUUGUCUGCUGAGUGGGUUCAGAGCGACGAACGUGAAUGGUGUCAAGGAGGUCAACAGUCACACUGCCAGAUCACUGC